This is a long non-coding RNA of Oncorhynchus tshawytscha (Chinook salmon), 2616 nucleotides long. The record is from Ensembl. NCBI's taxonomy places the organism in Eukaryota, Metazoa, Chordata, Actinopteri, Salmoniformes, Salmonidae.
GCCAUCACUAAAUCAAAACAGCGUAACUACGAGCUUGAAGAGAAAGCACACAAAGUAUUGGCAUGGCAACUGAGCAGAGGAAAGUAGUAGGACAAUUAAUGCUAUAGAAACUCUUACUAAAGAGAUAUUUUUUGACUCUACUGAAAUUAAUGAUACUUUUAAGAAAUAUUAAAGACCUCUACACUUCCCAAUCAAGAAAUGAUCUAUCAGAGAUCAACUCUUUUCUCUCCUCUCUCAACCUCCCAUGCCUAUCAGAGGAAGACAGAGAGCCCCUCAGUGAACAGUUCUUAGUCCAUGAAUUGUGGAGGCCAUUAAAUCCUUACCUUCUAAUAAAUCUCCUUGGGAGGAUGGUUUCCCUCCAGAGUUCUAUAAAGAAUUUAAGGAGCUGUUGGUACCCUACCUUAAGGAGCGACUUAAAAAAGCCGGGGAAGACAAUCGCUUUCCAGAUCCUUUUCUCAAGCAGUGAUUACAGUAAUUCACAGGAAAGGGAAAAACACGCUAAAGUGCACCUCCUACAGAUCAAUCUCUCCCCUUAACACAGAUUGUAAACUGGUCACCAAGAUCCUAUCUAAGAGACUGGAGUCAUGUCUUCCCAUGUUGGUCAACCCAGAUCAGACUGGCUUCAUAAUUAAUAGAUUGUCCUCCAAUAAUCUCAGAAUGUUCUUUGACAUAAUUCACCUUGCUAACAAAAACAAAAUACCUUGUCACAGUCUCCUUCAACACCAAAAAGGCCUUUAAUAGGGUUGAAUGGCCAUAUCCCUUUUGCGUCUUGGAAAAGUUUGGUUUAGGCACUGUUUGUAAUUUUGAUAAAGUCACUCUACAAAUCUCCUAAAGCUAGGAUUGCUUUGAGGUGGGCCCCCAUAAACAUAAGUUAUCACUUUUUGUGGACAACCUUAUAUUAUUUCUAACGAACCCAGAACAUUCCCUCUCUCUACAGAUCUUAUUACAGUACUAUAGUUCUUUCUCUGGAUAUAAGGUCAACUUUGAUAAAAGUGAAAUUUUACCGUUGUCUGUCUUUGACUAUCAAGCAUAAGUUUCCUUUUAGAUGAUCGCCAAUUGGCUUCACAUAUUUGGGCAUAAUGGUGGAUGGUAACCUGAACAACCUCUAUAUACUCAAUCUGGCCAGUUUGUUGCAAAAGGUGGAGGGUGACCUGUGUAUGAACUUGCCUCUCAUCCUACUCGGUAGAAUAAUGUAAUUAAAAUGAAUGUCCUGCCCAUAUUUCUAUAUUUGUUUCAAUCUCUCCCUAUCCCUGUUCCCGCAGCAUUAUUUUCCUCUCUCGACAAACUGACCAGACUUUUUAUCUGGCACAACAAAACCCAUAGGUUUAGCCUGGAUAAACUGACCCUUGAUUAUGGUCAAGGGGGCUUAAACCUCCCCAAUUUCAGAAUGUACUACUGGGCUGCGCAGUCUAGAUUUCUAGCUCAGAGGUUUGACAAUGGUCCUUCUCCCUCAUGGUUAAACAUUGAAAAGUUUGAGGUAAAUGAUGACACUGGGGCAGAAUUGUUUUACAAAUGUACAGGAAAUAUAUAAAAACCAUCAGACAACCCUUUAAUUAUACAUGGUGGUGCAAACGUCAUGAGCUGUUCAGAUGAGUGAUUUCUUUCCCCUAAAACCCCUCUAUGGAACAAUAGAUUGAUUCCUAUGUUUUUCCAGAAUAGUAACUUUAGACCAUGGUCUGAUAAGGGUAUCACUCUUCUGGAACAUUGUUAUGAGGAGGGAAUUCUUAUAUCUUUUGAACAGCUGAAACAGAAAUACCACUUGUCUAACAGGAACUUCUUUAGUUACUUACAACUACGAUAUUUUAUUAGGGUGACUCCCAAGGGACAAUGGAACCUACCUUAGAUGUCACCUAUUGAACUAUUCUGCCAUUCAGACCAACCACUGUUCAAGACCGAUUUCCCAUGUUUAAGAUGUUCUUAUGUCAGGCCUAUCACUGCCUGAGCUUGAUAAACCCCGACUUAGAUGGAAAAAGAUCUGGGUUUUAAAUCUUGAUGACCUAUGCAAGGAUGGUGUUACAUCCACACUGAACUCCAGAUACAGACUGAUCCAGUUUAAUUUCCUCCAUCAGCUCUAUCACCCCAUCUAGAUUGCAGAAGUUCAACUCUCUCCUCCCUCUGUUUUAGAUGUGGCUCAGAUGAAGGAACAUUCCUCCAUUUCACUUGCAGUGUUCAAAAUUACGGGGUUUCUGGCAGGGGGUAUGCGAUACCAUAUCCUCAAUUCAUGGGGUUGCAUUCCUUUUAGAUCCAGAGGUUAUACUAUAAAGUUAACAGAAAUAUUGCUAGCAAUUGUCAAGAAAUGUAUGACCUUGAAAUGGAAAUCGGAUUCCCCCCUGCCAGUUUCAAUGUGGCUAUCAGAAGUUAACAGUUGUAUUCCACUGGAGAAAACCAGUUACUGCUUGAGGAAUAAGUUAGAGACAUUUUACAGAAUUUGGCAAACUUUUAUUGAUUAUAUGGAGAAUCUCCCCUCACAUCACGUUGAUUUAAUCUCUAAAUAAUCCUCACGUAAUGGUUCACACUUAAUGUAUAAUAUGUAGCCUUAUGGCAGGUGACCAUAUGAUCCAAUGUUUCAUUGUGACUUUAAUUUAUUGUAUUUUUGUGUGUAUAUAUAUAUAUUUA